This 392-nucleotide ribosomal RNA is filed under the name uncultured bacterium. Its description in RNAcentral is "partial 16S ribosomal RNA". It matches the Rfam family "Bacterial small subunit ribosomal RNA", at positions 523 to 918 of the family's 1533-position model. The record is from RNAcentral.
AUACGGAGGAUCCGAGCGUUAUCCGGAUUUAUUGGGUUUAAAGGGUACGCAGGCGGCCAUUUAAGUCAGCGGUUAAAUCGUGGGGCUCAACCCCAUUCUGCCGUUGAUACUGGGUGGCUUGAUUGCGGUCGAGGUUGGCGGAAUUCGUUGUGUAGCGGUUAAAUGCAUAGAUAUGACGAAGAACACCGAUUGCGUAGGCAGCUGACCAGACCGCAAAUGACGCUCAUGCACGAAAGUGCGGGGAUCGAACAGGAUUAGAUACCCUGGUAGUCCGCACAGUAAACGAUGAAUACUUGUUUUCGGCGAUAUAAUGUCGGAGGCAAAGCGAAAGCGAUAAGUAUUCCACCUGGGGAGUACGGCGGCAACGGUGAAACUCAAAUGAAUUGGCGGGG